RNAcentral lists this long non-coding RNA (5001 nucleotides) under Marmota monax (woodchuck). Lineage: Eukaryota; Metazoa; Chordata; Mammalia; Rodentia; Sciuridae. The record is from RNAcentral.
GGAGAUUGAACUCAGGGACACUCAACCACCGAGCCAUAUCCCCAGCCUUAUUUUGUAUUUUAUUUAGAGACAGGUUCUCACUGAGUUGCUUAGCACCUUGUUAUUGCUGAGGCUGGCUUUGAACUAUUUCUCUUCUGUUUAAUUUCUCUUUUUUUAAAUAUCUUUAUUAUUUUUAUGUGGUGCUGAGGAUCGAACCCAGUGCCUCAGACGUGCAAAGCAAGCGCUCCACCGCUGAGCCACAAUCCCAGUGUCCCCUUUUUAUUUUUUGAAACAGGUUCUCAUUAAGUUGCUAAGGCUGGCCUUGAAUUUGUGAACCUCUUGCUCAGCCUCCUGAGUUGCUAGUGUUACAGGUAUGUGCCACUGCACCCAGUUUGGACUUUGUUUUUAAAUUCAGUUUUGUUACCAACCCAGUAGCUUACUUGGUUCUACAUAAACGCACAGAAUAUGGUGUUCUCAGCAAGCUCUCAACCAUAGUCACCUGUUAGAGAAUACAGUACAGGUAGGAAAGAGGAGGGUUGUGGGAGACCUUUAUACUUGCUCUGUACACUUCUGUAUUAAUGUGGAGUAUGGAGGAUGGAUUCCCAUACUGCAUAUAUUCCUGUAGCAAAUAAUUUUCAAAGUUAAAAAUCAAGUGAAACUGUUAAAAGUUGAACUAACCAUCUGGGUGUGGUGGAACACACAUGUAAUCCCAGUGACUUAGAAGGCUGAGGCAGGAGAAUUGCAAGCUCAAGGCCAAUCUCAGUAACUUAGCAAGACCCUGUCUGAAAAUAAAAAAGGACUAUGACUAUAUCAGUGAUAAAGUGCCCCUAGGGUCCAAUCUUCAGUACCAUCAAAAAAAAAAAAAAAGUUAUUGCCCUAGACAUGGUGCAGGAGACUGAAGCAAGAGGGUUACCUGAGCCUAGGAGUUCAGGAUCAUCCUGGACAACAUAAUGAGACCCUAUUUCUUUAUUUAAAAUUUUUUUAAAAAGUUAUCACUACUAAGACAGGAGAAAGCCAAAUCUGAAUUUCUGAAUUGAGUCACAAUUUUUCAAGAAUUAAUAUGUAACUUAUUGAUUUUUGGAUACUACCUUUUCUCCUAAGUGAUGCACAGCAUAUUAAAAUUCUGUGAAAUGAAACUGAGGUUGCACAAUAAGGAGAGAUUUUCUAAUUAAGCAUUAUUAAAACAUUUUUUAAAAGAGAUAAAUAUUGCUCUUUAGGAGGCUUCCUCACAGAAGUUCAGGACAUAACCUUGUAGUUUUUACUUUUACAAAAAAUGUAUUAGAUUCAAAACUAACUAUAUUCCCUUUUCUGAUGUAAUUUUGCUCUUUCUUAAUAUAUUCAGCAGCUGACAAAAGCUUCAAAGUGGUACUUAAAAACAAUUUCAAUUUAAAAAUAUAAGAAUGGCUUUUUCCCCCCUUGAAACAUGGUCUGUUCCUCAGAGCCAUUAGACCAUGACAAUCUGAGAACAUUAACCCCUAUAAUUCUAUUACAAUUCCAGGAAAACUUGUCAACAUAUGACCUCUGGUUUUUCAUAUGUGUUGACCCUGGUAAAUACAGGAAGAGGGUUUGUCACAAGUCAGUGUUUCUGGGUAACCAAUUUGCCUGCUGACUUUAAAAGGAGCUGGAGACGGGUAAUUUGUUUAAAUCACUGCAGCUUUCCACCUGAACAAUUAGACAUUUGAUUAUAACCUGCCCUAUACCCUCCCUCCCUACCCCCACAGAAACGUGAAACAAGGGAAUAGUGGGAACUUAUAUAAAGAAGCACUUCAGGUGUUUUGAGCUGAUACCUGAAGAAAAACAUUAUUUAAACAUUUGCUAAAUAAAAGGCAGAACUGACUCUUCCUUCUAGUCCCACAGGCCUAAAAGUUAAGCACAAAUUUGCUGCUCCUGGAUGUCUAACCAGCUGAUCCUCUUAAAUAGAAGGGAGCUUGAGAGAAUCUCUUUGGGGAGAUGCUCAUUAUUGAACAAAAAGCUUGUAUGUCACCUUGACACUAACAGUUUUCAGGUUUGAGUAAUGCAGUUGUGAAAAAACUAAUCAAAAUGAUGUUCUGGGUUAGGGUUUUAGUCUUUCUUUUUUGAUUAAAAGAAAGAGAAAGAAAGUAAAUAGAACAUUACAGAUAAAGCCCUUGUGUUUGUUUCCCUAAUCCCAUUUCCCUCUCCCUUGGGACAAACAUCAUAAAUUUGGUAUGUAUCUUUCCAGUGUAUCCUUUUUAUAGUUUUAUUAUAUGUAUGGUCUCCAUGAGUAAUAUAGUCCUACUUUCUAUGCUUUUGUAAUUUUUACUUGGUUUGUCUUGACUCCUCCCCCCACAGUGCUGGGUAUCAAACCCAGGCCUUAUACAUAGUGAACAAGCUUUCUACCACUAAGAUUAACCCACCACUCUCAACAUUUCUUUCUGAGAUCUGUCCAGGUUGACCACUUCUAGAUCUAGUGCUUGGGCUUUAGCUGCUCUCUAAUAUUUCCUCAUUUUUUAUUGUAAUACUAAUGGUCUGUAAGGCUGACAAUGUUUUGGUACUAUGGACAAUACUGCAGUGAACACCUUUGCAUGUGUGUCCCAGUACAUACAUACAAGGCAUAUGCAAUUAGAGUGGAAAGCAGGGUGUGAAUCAUGGCUUUGCCAUUUACUAGUUCUGUGACCUUCUGUUACCUGACCUCCUGACCUAAUUUUUUCAUUUGUAAAUUCAGGGGUAUUUUAGUCAGCUAUUUCACUGACCUGACAAGAACAAUUUAGAGGAAGAAAAGUUUAUUUGGGGCUCACAAUUUCAGAGGUCUCAGUUCACAGCUGUCUCCAUUGCUCUGGGCCUAAGGUAAGGCAGAACAUCAUAGCAGAAAGGUAUCACGGAGGAAAGCAGCUCAGGAUGUGGCAAUCAGGAAGCAGAGCUCUACUCAUCAGGGACAAAAUAUAAACCCCAAAGGCACUCCCCCAGGACCUGCCUCCUCCCAACACCCAACUGCCCACAGUUACACCCAUUAAUCUGAUUAGGUCACAGCUUUCCUAAUCCAAUCAUCUCACCUCAAUUUUCUUGCAUUGUUUCACUUGUGAGCUUUUGCAGGACACACAAUCUAAAUCAUAACAAGAGGGAAUAAUAAUCCUUAGAGUUGUGAGAAUUAAAUGAGCCAACCACUUAGAACAGUGCCUGCUACAGAGCAGGAACAAAAUGUCAGCUGUCGUCAUUGUCAAAUGAUCAGACCUGGACAUGUCUUUGCUCGGUGACACCUUGAACAUUACUGCCAAAUUUCUCUUCAUAAUGGUAAUAUCAACUUCCACUCCCACGAGUAAUGUCUGGAAUUUCCUGAUUUUGCCACGUAUCUUAAGACCUUUUAGUCCCUACUUUUAGGGUGAACGUUCAUUUUUUUAUUUGCAACACCAUUACUGCUUGCCUUUGAAAUCUGCUUUAAAACGGGAUUGCCCUCUAGUGGUGAGAGAAGUACACUGCAGUUAUGGGGCAGGAUCCAAAAAAGAACAGAUUUUCUUGUAUCUUGGGGUAAAUUAGGCAAUUUUGGUUGCUAUUAGGUUUGAAUAAGAUCAAUUACAUGAUUUUUCCAUUAUCUACUCUAUUUUUAGGCAGCUUGUACUUCUUACUUUUUCUACUAUGGUGAUAGCCUUUUCUGUAAGUCCAAGAUGAAGGAAGAUCUGUCUGCAAAGCCCAGCCAAGCCUCUUGCAGCUGAAUGCAUCUGGGUCACUGCUCAGAAAAGAGGAGUGAGAUAAAAUAGGAAAAAGGCUACUUACCAAAUGGGCAGGAGACUGCCAUUCCUUGAGCAGUCUUGAAUCUCCAGUGGGAAAGACGGUAAUGUGAACAUCAGUGCUAGUCACACAAGCACCACAGAAGGCUGAGCUGAGUUGACUCAAGAGGGUCGCCAUUAAUAUCUUUCUAGAUUGGCCUCAGAUUACCUGCUGUGAAGACUUCUGGAAUCAGUCUGAAAGAAGUUAACAAUGCUUAAGAUGUUAAAUAUUGAUCAUCAAAGACAUAGAUGCAUUUUAAAAUAUCUGUACAAAAAUGUUCAUGAGAGUUAAGGAUAUAAACAAACUAUAUUAGCCGUGGCGCACACCUGUAAUCCCAGCAACUCAGGAGGCUAAAUUAGGAGAAGGGCAAGUUCAAGGAAAGCCUGGGGAAUUUAGUAAGAACCUGUCUCAAAAUCAGAAGUAAAAAGGGACGUAGCUCAGGUAAAGCGCCGCUGGGUUUGGCUCCCAGUACCACAAAAGAAAAAAAAAAAGUUUUGGAAAUGUUACAUAUCUUUAAAUUACUGUCACUAAAUUUAUAUCAAAAUUUAUAAUAAGAAAAUAAAACCUAAACAACAGCAAGUAAAGUUUGGUUGUAAUUAGAAACACAUUCAGAGCAAUCUGCACUGCCCCACCACGCCAGGUUCGUGUCCAUUUCUAAGCUUCUGUUUGUAAGGAUUCCUUUGCCCAAAACAACUUCUUUCAUCCUUUUGUUCAGCCAUAUCUUUAAUUGUCUAAGUGCCUAAACCCAUACCCCAAUCCUACCCAUCUCCAGCCCAAGUUUUACCUGUUCCCCAGGAAGCAAGUUAGUGGAGAGAGGAGGAAGCUGCAGAAUCAUGCAGAUGUGGGUGUGAGUCCCAGCCCUGCAGAGUUAAGUAAGUCAUUUCACCCUUCCAUGCUUGUUUCUUCAGUGGUAAUUUGGGGAGAGUAGUGAAAUCAGUGCUGUUGGAUAUUAACAUGAGAAGAUGUGACAAACAACAUAGAAUAGGCAUUGGGCAAAUAUUAGUUUGUCCCUCCUCAGAACUGGCUCCACCUUCAUUGAACUCCUGUGGUGCCACUAUUUUUAUCACCCACUUUAAUUUUUUGUUUCUACUUUUGUCUGUCACUACACCGAUUCAGAUAUGAAUAUCAUCUCCCCACUUCAUGAGAAAUGUUUACAGUGCCAAAGAAAUGUGAGGCAUCCAGCAUACUGUCUAUUAAAUGAAUUUUCCUACAUGUGGACACCUUAUUUUCCAUUACUAUAAUCUCCAAUUAAAUGUGUGUAUUGUACUGUAUACAAUGGUGCAUGCCUAUAAUCCUGGC